AUGUGAAACGACCCCCGUAGUCAAUUUCGGCUUGGCCUUAGCUUAUAUAAUAAGCCUCAUU
This 61-nucleotide transfer RNA is filed under the name Podura aquatica (water springtail). RNAcentral's name for it is "tRNA-Arg". The record is from RNAcentral. Lineage: Eukaryota; Metazoa; Arthropoda; Collembola; Poduromorpha; Poduridae.